Mauremys reevesii (Reeves's turtle) is the source of this 1214-nucleotide long non-coding RNA. RefSeq lists it as uncharacterized. NCBI's taxonomy places the organism in Eukaryota, Metazoa, Chordata, Testudines, Geoemydidae. The transcript is spliced from 3 exons. The record is from RefSeq and is a predicted model, not a curated record.
CAGAAACAAGUAGGUCUUCUGGACUCCUAGGGAGAGUAAGAGGCAAUUAAGGAAUGUGAUGAUUAUGUACCAUCCACCCAGCCCUGAAAAGAUUAAUGAGGGCCUGAGAGGCCAGUUAUGUUAUCUGGCUGCAUCUGGAGGUGGGCCCAAGCUUAGGGAUGAAGCCCAGCUGUGGAGGAGCUGGGUAGUGACUAUAAAGGCAGGAAGUUUAGCACAGAAGGAGGUAGGGAGAGAGUCCGCAGUCUCUCUGAGAUUAUCAAGAGAAGACCCUGGGAUUCUUACCUGAUUAGAGUAGGCAGCCAGGUGGCUCCACAUGCUGCCCCGCCCCAGGUGCCAGUUCCACAACUCCCAUUGGCUGGGAACCGUGGGCAAUGGGAGCUGUGGGAGUGGUGCCUGUGGACAGGGCAGAGCUGCCUGGCUGCACCUCUGUGUUGGAGUGGGGACAUGCCGCUGCUUCUGGGAGCUGCUUGAGAUGAGCUGUUUCCCUAAUUGCAAUACAUUGACUCUACCAUUCGGAGGAGCCUGUGCCACAGAAUGAUAAACUGAAGUUAUCCAGCAAAGAGGAGUCUUCACUUGUGAAACAGUCGGAACACAACCCAGAGGUCCUUGGUCAGUUCAGCUGCUGCCACUGCAGCCUUGAGGGGGUUCCCCUUCUACACCUGUGGAACACCUGAGCCAGAUAAGGAGGAGAAAGAAGAGGACUUGGAAAGACCUGUUCAGUGAGAUCCUCUGCUGCUUCAGACUGUGAACAAAGGGCCUGGAGGGUGAACAUUGCAGACAGCCUGAGGGAGGAAGAUGUGGACAGGUGGAAGGUUCAGGAAUCUCAGUAGAAAAGGGAGAUGCACCAAGACGUAAUGGGCCUUUUCUGGCAGCAAACACAAAUGCUGCAGUCUCUUGGGGACCUACAGGGUCACCUCCCUUUGCAGUCCAUGGAGAACUCCAUUAUAGCCCCUCCUUGCAUCCUCAUCUCAACAUUGCACGUUGUAUCAGUGGCUGCAUCCCUACACCUGCCACUCCACCUCUCAGGACAUUAAGGACAACCACAGCUUCACAUACACUGAGCUGGGAAAGCCAUGGUUGCUGUACGUGUAGGUAAAGUUGACAUAAAUGUUUUUUCCCUUGUUAAGUUCUGUUCCAUUAAUUUUAUUAAUUUUUUUAUGUAUUUACUUUUGAAUUGCACAGCUUUUUCUUUCCACUGGUUUUGUUAAUGAAUA